UCUGCAAGGCAAAUAACUAUUGAGAAACCGAUUGGAACUAUAAUAAUAUUAAGGAAACGUCAGCAGAUCGCGAUUCUCGGGAGCGCACGAGCGAGUCGAACGGAGACGACGAGCGUGGCUGCCACCAGACCGCCACUCUGGCCCGAGGACAGGGCCGUCUUGUUACUGGAGUUAAUCUUAAGGCGGAUGAAGGUAUACUACUUUUACAGACUUUCUUUCGUAUCUGAUUAAAUUAUUAUCCUAUGUAUGUACACAGAUUCGUGAAGCGAUUCAAGAAAGAAAUUGAAAAAGGAAUUUAUCCUCUUGUACUGUCGAGGCUAUCUGAUUGUGGAACUCGUGACUAAGGAUACUGAAUGUAUACUGAUACAGGAUUGACUGAGGCACAAUUACAAUUUGAAUGGAUGAACCUGGAGGAAGGGUAAUAAGAUGGUUUGUUAAGUGGAGGAUAGGUUGAUGCAUGUGCCUGAUCUAGUGACUGUCUAGGGAUCCUAAGAAACUUUCUUACGGCCCUGGACAACCAUCCGCUUCUUCCUUGCUCGACCGGCUAUAGUCUAUACCACGAUGUGUCUAUAGACUUGCAAGCUACCUGAUCUGCGUAUUUCCACACAUUAAGGUCGGAUGUAAAUAAAAAGUCAAACAGCAGAAUAAGAGUUCUCUUGUUUGGUAAAAAAAACCUGGUGAAAAAAAUUGGGACACCCAUAAUCCACGGUGACUGAACCUAUGUCUAUAACAGUUACUAUCGACUUCAAUUCUAAAAUCUACGUAUCUAUCAAAGGCUGACGUAGACUAUUGUUAUCGCAUUGAAAUCCAAGGUUAAUUCCAACCAGACGGAAAGAAAAGAAAUUGCAACGUAACAUCUACCAAAGUUCUCGGCACUGAAGAAUCCCACGAUCCAAAUUUACGUGCGACUAAAAAAUGGCCACGACGUGAUAGAGCGACAACAAUUAAAAGUGAUCUAGAGGUGCAUCAACGAUCUCGACAAGGAGUCGCCUUAUGCCUGAAAAAAAAGGCGUGUUUACAUUACGUAUUUCAAGCUCGUUGCGACGUGGAAUUACCACGUGUGGACUGUAGCCAUCGAAUUGCCUGCAUUCCCUGACAUAACGGGUCAAGCGGCACGUAGCGCGUGUGGCUCCAAAAUUUUCGAAAACGGUUCCAGUAUAGUAAACGCCCUGAAAGAAUUACUCUACGUCGUUCCGUAAAUUCCAUUAGAUCUGGGUCACUGGGUGUCCGAACAAAAUAUAUAUAUAUAUAUACCCAGCCAUUAUUACAUCAUCAUCCAGGACUACAACCUAACUCAAGAGGAAGCUCUUCAAUUCGGUCACGCAUGCCUUUGACUUCCGAUGGGCAAAUCAUUUCCCGAGUGUCAACCGCCUCACGACGUUCUCUUCGUCCUCGUCUCUCGACUCAACUAUGCAGCUGCUGUUGCUGAUAAUACCACGCAUUGAAAUCACCGCUCCCUGUGACACGAAUGCCGCGCGAGGCUCUCGAGUUUCCACGCAUUCCAAGCUGCUUCUCUUUACAUAAAAAUGAUUUACCUAACAGCGCCUAUUAACUCCCAUGCGUAUAGUAAAACGCGGACAAUGUCCCUGUUUUCUGUUAAACGAUACAAGAAGAUGGCGGACGGAUACGUGAACGAGCGGUUAUACGGUGACCUUGACUCUCGUAACCCUUUUGCUUCCUCUCCUUUUUUCCCUACCUCUUCUCUUUUCACGUGACGCGAUUAGAGACCGACUACGGUUGUACUACGCGUUAUGCGGUCGAUUAUGUAGUCGAGCGAUAUUAAUCGCUGCAACGCAGUGCAGCGUGGAGCCACCGGAUACGUAAUAAUUCUCGAGUCGAAGAAUUACAUCUCUGGUAUUUGCACGGUGGAUGCUGCAAAUUCAUUUUCUGGAAUUACUAUAUUAAGAUCUUUAUAAUGGUAGAUGCCCACUGUAGCGUGUAGACGUUUUAUUUCCGUUUCAAGAAACAUUACUGGAGUUCAUCCAAAAUCCGUUUUCAAAAAAUUCACUCUCUGCCUCUGGAUUGAAUUUCAUUGCUGAUACCGUUACUAAUUGUUAUUAUAUCAUUGACAAAUACGUAAUAGGGAACUUGGUGUGUUUUCCCUUUCUAUUAUUAUGUAAAGUUAAUGUCGUUCUUUUGCAAAUGGUAUCUGUACAUCUUUCAUCGCGAUAAGACCUAACCCAAGUUACUCGUUGCGUGCAUGUCCCAAAUUUCGAUUACAAUAAAACAGCCUAGCUAGGGAAUAUAGAUAUGUGUAUUGCAUUGAUGUAUUAGGUAUAUAACGUGUUUAGUAUUUAAAGAUAAUUAUAUCUCUGAUAUACAAGUGAGAGCACGUUGCACGAAUCUGCUAAUUAAUUAAAAUAUUUUAUCUUGGA
This is a long non-coding RNA of Cephus cinctus (wheat stem sawfly), 2375 nucleotides long. RefSeq lists it as uncharacterized. NCBI's taxonomy places the organism in Eukaryota, Metazoa, Arthropoda, Insecta, Hymenoptera, Cephidae. The record is from RefSeq and is a predicted model, not a curated record. The transcript has 3 exons.